GAUGAACGCUAGCUACAGGCUUAACACAUGCAAGUCGAGGGGAAACGGCAUCGAAAGCUUGCUUUUGAUGGGCGUCGACCGGCGCACGGGUGAGUAACGCGUAUCCAACCUGCCCAUCACUUGGGAAUAACCUUGCGAAAGUAAGACUAAUGCCCAAUGACAUCCCACGAAGGCAUCCGAAUGGGAUUAAAGAUUUAUCGGUGAUGGAUGGGGAUGCGUCUGAUUAGCAUGUUGGCGGGGUGACGGCCCACCAAGGCAACGAUCAGUAGGGGUUCUGAGAGGAAGGUCCCCCACAUUGGAACUGAGACACGGUCCAAACUCCUACGGGAGGCAGCAGUGAGGAAUAUUGGUCAAUGGGCGAGAGCCUGAACCAGCCAAGUAGCGUGCAGGAUGACGGCCCUAUGGGUUGUAAACUGCUUUUAUAAGGGAAUAAAGUGGGUCACGUGUGACUUUUUGCAUGUACCUUAUGAAUAAGGACCGGCUAAUUCCGUG
This 492-nucleotide ribosomal RNA is filed under the name uncultured bacterium. RNAcentral's name for it is "partial 16S ribosomal RNA". It matches the Rfam family "Bacterial small subunit ribosomal RNA", at positions 28 to 507 of the family's 1533-position model. The record is from RNAcentral.